UGGGGAAUAUUGCACAAUGGGGGAAACCCUGAUGCAGCGACGCCGCGUGAGCGAAGAAGGUUUUCGAAUCGUAAAGCUCUGUCCUAUGGGAAGAUAAUGACGGUACCAUAGGAGGAAGCCCCGGCUAACUACGUUCCAGCAGCCGCGGUAAUACGUAGGGGGCAAGCGUUGUCCGGAAUCACUGGGCGUAAAGGGUUCGCAGGCGGAAAUGCAAGUCAGUUGUGAAAGGCAGAGGCUCAACCUCUGUAAGCAAUUGAAACUGUAUUUCUUGAGAUGUGGAGAGGCAAGUGGAAUUCCUAGUGUAGCGGUGAAAUGCGUAGAUAUUAGGAAGAAUACCGGUGGCGAAGGCGACUUGCUGGACACAAACUGACGCUGAGGAACGAAAGCGUGGGUAGCAAACAGG
Molecule: ribosomal RNA, 403 nt
Filed under: Fusobacteriota bacterium
Lineage: Bacteria; Fusobacteriati; Fusobacteriota
Description: Fusobacteria bacterium partial 16S ribosomal RNA
Rfam family: Bacterial small subunit ribosomal RNA
Source: RNAcentral